CAAGUCGAGCGGCAGCGCGGGGCAACCUGGCGGCGAGCGGCGAACGGGUGAGUAAUGCAUCGGAACAUGUCCAAGUCGUGGGGGAUAGCCCGGCGAAAGCCGGAUUAAUACCGCAUGUGCCCGAGAGGGGAAAGUGGGGGACCGCAAGGCCUCACGCGAUUGGGUUGGCCGAUGUCCGAUUAGCUAGUUGGCGGGGUAAGAGCCCACCAAGGCGAUGAUCGGUAGCUGGUCUGAGAGGAUGAUCAGCCACACUGGGACUGAGACACGGCCCAGACUCCUACGGGAGGCAGCAGUGGGGAAUUUUGGACAAUGGGGGAAACCCUGAUCCAGCCAUUCCGCGUGAGUGAAGAAGGCCUUCGGGUUGUAAAGCUCUUUUGUCCGGAGCGAAACGGUUAGGGUGAAUAUCCCUGACUACUGACGGUACCGGAAGAAUAAGCACCGGCUAACUACGUGCCAGCAGCCGCGGUAAUACGUAGGGUGCGAGCGUUAAUCGGAAUUACUGGGCGUAAAGCGUGCGCAGGCGGUUUUGUAAGCCAGAUGUGAAAUCCCCGGGCUUAACCUGGGAAUGGCAUUUGGGACUGCAAGGCUGGAGUUUGGCAGAGGAGACUGGAAUUCCUGGUGUAGCAGUGAAAUGCGUAGAUAUCAGGAGGAAUACCGAUGGCGAAGGCAGGUCUCUGGGCUAUAACUGACGCUCAUGCACGAAAGCGUGGGGAGCAAACAGGAUUAGAUACCCUGGUAGUCCACGCCCUAAACGAUGUCGACUGGUUGUUGGGGGGUUUGACACUCUCAGUAACGAAGCUAACGCGUGAAGUCGACCGCCUGGGGAGUACGGCCGCAAGGUUAAAACUCAAAGGAAUUGACGGGGACCCGC
This 871-nucleotide ribosomal RNA is filed under the name uncultured beta proteobacterium. RNAcentral's name for it is "bacterial SSU rRNA". It matches the Rfam family "Bacterial small subunit ribosomal RNA", at positions 58 to 924 of the family's 1533-position model. Lineage: Bacteria; Pseudomonadati; Pseudomonadota; Betaproteobacteria. The record is from RNAcentral.